UACGUAGGUGGCGAGCGUUGCCCGGAAUUACUGGGCGUAAAGGGUGCGUAGGAGGUUGUUUAAGGCAGAUGUGAAAACCCCGGGCUUAACCUGGGGAUUGCAUUUGACACUGGGCAGCUAGAGUGCAGGAGAGGGAAGCGGAAUACCUAGUGUAGCAGUGAAAUGCGUAGAAAUUAGGAACAACGCCAGUGGCGAAGGCGCCUUUCUGGACUGUAACUGACGAUCAGGCAGGAAUGCGUGCUGAGGAAAUAGG
This 253-nucleotide ribosomal RNA is filed under the name uncultured bacterium. RNAcentral describes it as "partial 16S ribosomal RNA". It matches the Rfam family "Bacterial small subunit ribosomal RNA", at positions 524 to 776 of the family's 1533-position model. The record is from RNAcentral.